RNA transcript from Mus musculus (house mouse), 734 nucleotides. It is a transcript of the gene named predicted gene 9603, with no coding region annotated. The transcript is spliced from 5 exons. NCBI's taxonomy places the organism in Eukaryota, Metazoa, Chordata, Mammalia, Rodentia, Muridae. The record is from RefSeq and is marked validated.
AUGUUUUCCAGGCUGCUCAGGCUAUGUCAGAAAGAGAAUGGCGAUGAAGGAGAGACAAGACCAAAAAAGAAGGAAGAGGGAAUCCUUUCUCAUGAAAAAGGAAGAAGGAAAUCAUUCUGGAGAAGGCACAGGUCUGCUAGAAAUACUUCAACCCAAAAUUCCAACAUCACAAAUCAGAUAUCAAAUAUAAAUAAAGUAGAAGAACUGAAAUUGCAUAUAAGGAAGACCAGCAAUGAGAGGAAGGAAAUGUGUGGAAUCCUGAAUGUUUACAUGUAUGAGGAUUUAAACUACAGGAUGAACACUGAAUUCAACAUCAUUAAAUCACAACAUGAGAAGACAAUGUUGGAUAUGAAUAAAAUGAUCCAGUCCAUAAUUGGUUCCAUGCAGUACUCCAAGGAACUGAUAGAAGAUAACUAUUCCUACAGCAUUAAGGAGGACCACCUCCUCCGUGAGUGCACUCAACUCAACGAAAAAGUAAGGAUAUUACUGAAUGAGAACAGAAAGCUGCUGGUGGAGCAGGCUGGAACGCAAGUGUCCUGUGAGGAAGAAAGAGGUUCUCUGAGGAGGCCAGCAAGAACAUCUGUGCCUCAAGUGCAAAGGAACAGCAGCUUCCCUAAGUGUGAAACAGUCCAACAGAAACUGGAACAUGGCACAGACCAUGACAUGAUCUCCCUCAAAGAGAAGUGCUGGUGGAAGAGGACUGGGUGUGCACAGGAAAUACACCACUGUUGCCU